GACGAACGCUGGCGGCGUGCCUAAUACAUGCAAGUCGAACGCUGAAGGAGGAGCUUGCUUCUCUGGAUGAGUUGCGAACGGGUGAGUAACGCGUAGGUAACCUGCCUGGUAGCGGGGGAUAACUAUUGGAAACGAUAGCUAAUACCGCAUAAGAGUAGAUGUUGCAUGACAUUUGCUUAAAAGGUGCAAUUGCAUCACUACCAGAUGGACCUGCGUUGUAUUAGCUAGUUGGUGGGGUAACGGCUUACCAAGGCGACGAUACAUAGCCGACCUGAGAGGGUGAUCGGCCACACUGGGACUGAGACACGGCCCAGACUCCUACGGGAGGCAGCAGUAGGGAAUCUUCGGCAAUGGACGGAGGUCUGACCGAGCAACGCCGCGUGAGUGAAGAAGGGUUUCGGAUCGUAAAGCUCUGUUGUAAGAGAAGAACGAGUGUGAGAGUGGAAAGUUCACACUGUGACGGUAUCUUACCAGAAAGGGACGGCUAACUACGUG
This 495-nucleotide ribosomal RNA is filed under the name uncultured bacterium. Its description in RNAcentral is "partial 16S ribosomal RNA". It matches the Rfam family "Bacterial small subunit ribosomal RNA", at positions 28 to 507 of the family's 1533-position model. The record is from RNAcentral.